This 343-nucleotide unclassified non-coding RNA is filed under the name soil metagenome. RNAcentral's name for it is "partial contains 5.8S ribosomal RNA, internal transcribed spacer 2, and large subunit ribosomal RNA". The stretch from base 1 to 120 matches the Rfam family "5.8S ribosomal RNA", at positions 35 to 154 of the family's 154-position model. The record is from RNAcentral.
GAUGAAGAACGUAGCGAAAUGCGAUAAGUAAUGUGAAUUGCAGAAUUCAGUGAAUCAUCGAAUCUUUGAACGCACAUUGCGCCCGCCAGCAUUCUGGCGGGCAUGCCUGUUCGCGCGUCAUUUCAACCCUCGAGCCCCCCCGGGGGCCUCGGUGUUGGGGGACGGCACACCAGCCGCCCCCGAAAUGCAGUGGCGACCCCGCCGCAGCCUCCCCUGCGUAGUAGCACACACCUCGCACCGGAGCGCGGAGGCGGUCACGCCGUAAAACGCCCAACUUUCUUAGAGUUGACCUCGGAUCAGGUAGGAAUACCCGCUGAACUUAAGCAUAUCAAUAAGCGGAGGA